AUUCAACUGAUGAGUCUCAAAUGGGACAAACGAGCGUCCUGGAU
RNAcentral lists this non-coding RNA (44 nucleotides) under Schistosoma curassoni. The record is from RNAcentral. Lineage: Eukaryota; Metazoa; Platyhelminthes; Trematoda; Strigeidida; Schistosomatidae.